GACGAACGCUGGCGGCGUGCUUAACACAUGCAAGUCGAACGGAAAGGCCCUGCUUUUGUGGGGUGCUCGAGUGGCGAACGGGUGAGUAACACGUGAGUAACCUGCCCUUGACUUUGGGAUAACUUCAGGAAACUGGGGCUAAUACCGGAUAGGAGCUCCUGCUGCAUGGUGGGGGUUGGAAAGUUUCGGCGGUUGGGGAUGGACUCGCGGCUUAUCAGCUUGUUGGUGGGGUAGUGGCUUACCAAGGCUUUGACGGGUAGCCGGCCUGAGAGGGUGACCGGCCACAGUGGGACUGAGAUACGGCCCAGACUCCUACGGGAGGCAGGAGUGGGGAAUAUUGCACAAGGGGCGGAAGCCUGAUGCAGCAACGCCGCGUGCGGGAUGACGGCCUUCGGGUUGUAAACCGCUUUCGCCUGUGACGAAGCGUGAGUGACGGUAAUGGGUAAAGAAGCACCGGCUAACUACGU
Molecule: ribosomal RNA, 467 nt
Filed under: uncultured bacterium
Lineage: Bacteria
Description: partial 16S ribosomal RNA
Rfam family: Bacterial small subunit ribosomal RNA
Source: RNAcentral